GACGAACGCUGGCGGCGUGCUUAACACAUGCAAGUCGAACGGAAAGGCCCUGCUUUUGUGGGGUGCUCGAGUGGCGAACGGGUGAGUAACACGUGAGUAACCUGCCCUUGACUUUGGGAUAACUUCAGGAAACUGGGGCUAAUACCGGAUAGGAGCUCCUGCUGCAUGGUGGGGGUUGGAAAGUUUCGGCGGUUGGGGAUGGACUCGCGGCUUAUCAGCUUGUUGGUGGGGUAGUGGCUUACCAAGGCUUUGACGGGUAGCCGGCCUGAGAGGGUGACCGGCCCCAUUGGGACUGGGUUACGGCCCAGACUCCUACGGGAGGCAGCAGUGGGGAAUAUUGCACAAUGGGCGGAAGCCUGAUGCAGCAACGCCGCGUGCGGGAUGACGGCCUUCGGGUUGUAAACCGCUUUCGCCUGUGACGAAGCGUGAGUGACGGUAAUGGGUAAAGAAGCACCGGCUAACUACGU
This 467-nucleotide ribosomal RNA is filed under the name uncultured bacterium. RNAcentral's name for it is "partial 16S ribosomal RNA". It matches the Rfam family "Bacterial small subunit ribosomal RNA", at positions 28 to 506 of the family's 1533-position model. The record is from RNAcentral.